UGAAACCGUCUAGAGGCAAACGGAGAGGACCGUAUGGUCCGCCCGUCGGAUUCAGUCCGCCGGUGCGGCGCGGGCGUCGGUCGCGCAUCUCUCUCGAGAGCGCGCCGGCGCCGCCUGCGUCGUGCGGCGGCCGUACUUUCGGCGGGCGGAGCGCCACGACCGGUUCGCCGGCGGCGAGAAACUCCCGGGCAAGGUGAACGUCGCUUCGGCGUCGGAGCAUACAGGCUCGGAGAGCGGAGGCCCGUCGGCGGACCGAGGAAGACCGGAUUCGCGGUGCGGCGUCGACCGCCCGUCGUGGGCGCGCGUUCGACUGGGGGGGACUGGUUCCAGUGCCCUUCGACCGCGUGCGUCUAUCGGCGGGACGGCCCGGCGUCGCGCCUGGGGUCGGUGGCGAAACGGCCGGCAACCUGUCCGACCCGUCUUGAAACACGGACCAAGGAGUCUAACAUGUGCGCGAGUCGUUGGGCGUUACGAAACCCGAAGGCGCAAUGAAAGUGAAGGCCCGGUCUCCGGCCGGCCUAGGUGGGAUCCGGGCGGUCACGGCCGUCCGGCGCACCACCGGCCCGUCUCGUUCGUCGCGUCGAAGAGGCGGAGCAAGAGCGUACACGUUGGGACCCGAAAGAUGGUGAACUAUGCCCGAGUAGGACGAAGCCAGAGGAAACUCUGGUGGAGGUCCGCAGCGAUUCUGACGUGCAAAUCGAUCGUCAAACUUGGGUAUAGGGGCGAAAGACUAAUCGAACCAUCUAGUAGCUGGUUCCUGUCGAAGUUUCCCUCAGGAUAGCUGGCGCUCGUCGCGAGCAGUUUUAUCCGGUAAAGCGAAUGACUGGAGGCCUUGGGGACGAAACGUCCUCAACCUACUCUCAAACUUUAAAUGGGUAAGACGUCCGACUCGCUCGAUUGGAGCCGGGCAACGAAUGCGAGUGCCAAGUGGGCCACUUUUG
Molecule: ribosomal RNA, 941 nt
Filed under: Diporodrilus pilosus
Lineage: Eukaryota; Metazoa; Annelida; Clitellata; Crassiclitellata; Lumbricidae
Description: eukaryotic LSU rRNA
Rfam family: Eukaryotic large subunit ribosomal RNA (bases 331-941)
Source: RNAcentral